CCUACGGGAGGCAGCAGUGAGGAAUAUUGCACAAUGGGCGAAACCCUGAUGCAGCGACGCCGCGUGGGGGAAGAAGGGCCUCGGCGCGUAAAGCCCUGUCAGCAGGGGAGAAAAUGACGGUACCUGAAGAAGACGCCCCGGCUAACUACGUGCCAGCAGCCGCGGUAAUCCGGAGGGGGCCAGCGUUAUCCGGAUUUACUGGGUGUAAAGGGGGCGCAGACGGCGCUGCAAGCCAGGAGUGAAAGCCCGGGGCCCAACCCCGGGACUGCGCUGGGAACUGCGUGGCUAGAGUGCAGGAGGGGCAGGCGGAAUUCCUGGUGUAGCGGUGAAAUGCGUAGAUAUCAGGAGGAACACCGGUGGCGAAGGCGGCCUGCUGGACUGCAACUGACGUUGAGGCCCGAAAGCGUGGGGAGCAAACAGGAUUAGAUACCCUAGUAGUC
Molecule: ribosomal RNA, 440 nt
Filed under: uncultured bacterium
Lineage: Bacteria
Description: partial 16S ribosomal RNA
Rfam family: Bacterial small subunit ribosomal RNA
Source: RNAcentral